AACAAAGGCAAUUAAGGCCAAGAUCGAAAAAUCAGCUGAUGACCCAAAAUGCACUGUACAAGGAAACCGAUGAAACCAUUGAUCAUAUCGUCAACUGCUAUAAGAAAAUCGCACAGACAGACUACAAACAGAGGCACAACUAUGUGGUCCAAAUGAUUCAUUGGAACUUAUGCCUCAAGUACCACCUCCCAGCAGCAAAGAACUGGUGGGAUCACAAACCUGCAAAAGUAUUGGAAAAUGAGCACGCAAAGAUACUGUGGGACUUCCGAAUCCAGACUGACAAAGUUCUGGAACACAACACACCAGACAUCACAGUUGUGGAAAGGAAAAAGGUAUGGAUCAUUGAUAUUGCCAUCCCAGGUGACAGUCGCAUUGACGAAAAACAACAGGAAAAACUCAGCCACUAUCAGGACCUCAAGAUUGAACUUCAAAGACUCUGGCACAAACCAGUGCAGGUGAUCCCGGUGGUGAUGGGCACACUGGGUGCCGUGCCAAAAGAUCUCAGCCGGCAUUUGGAAACAAUAGACAUUGACAAAAUUAUGAUCUGCCAACUGCAAAAGGCCACCCUACUGGGAUCUGCGUGCAUCAUCCGAAAAUACAUCACACAGUCCUAGACACUUGGGAAAUGUUCGACUUGUGAUUUUGUGAAACAAAAUCCAGCAUAUCUAUCUUGUUUGCUGUGUCAUACUUAAAAUACUUAAAAUAAUAAUAACUACUUUAUUCUUGUACCCCACAUCCAUCUCCCUGAAGGGACUCGGGGAAGCUUACAUAAGAAAAAAAAACAGUCCAUAAAUUAAACACAAUAUAAUAACACAGUUAUAAAACAACAAAACAUAAUAAUUAUUAAAACCAAGACAUCAAUUGCUAUGUACAGAGGGUGAUUAGUGCAAAACUCUGAGUAAAGUCCAAGAGUAAAAUAGAGACGAGCCGGGGAGGACAAGGAACCGAUCGUGUUAAAACACUAAAACCUAUAAAAUGGAUAUUAAAAUGCAGCACAGUUUGAAAACAAGAUACAUGGCUGGUGGCCUCUUCACUCAAAAGCACACCAGAACAUCCAUGUUUUUAGACUCUGGAGGAAGGUGGACAAUGAAGGAGCCAGUCUAAUCUCGCUGGGAAGCGAGUUCCAGAGUCGGGGAGCCACUACCGAGAAGGCCCUCUCUCUCGUCCCCACCAACUCUGCUUGAGACGGAGGUAGAAGCGAGAGAAGGGCCUCCCUGGAAGAUCUUAGGGCCCGAUGGUACUGGCAUUUUCCCAGUCAAAGCAUGUAAGUUUCAGGAUUACACAAGGUUCUCCCUCAUUCUCAUCCAGCACAAUGAGGGGAUAAUUUGACUGAAAGUGAUGUGAGUUAUACUCCAAUGCAUUUGGAGACUACCAGGUUGAGGAUAGGUAAGGUAAAGGUUUCCCCUGAUGUUAAGUCCAGUCAUGUCUGACUCUGGAGGUUGGUGCUCAUCUCCAUUUCUAAGCCGAAGAGCCGGCGUUGUCCGUAGACACCUCCAAGGUCAUGUGGCCGGCAUGACUGCAUGGAGCGCCGUUACCUUCCCGCCGGAACGGUACCUAUUGAUCUACUCACAUUUGCAUGUUUUUGAACUGCUAGGUUGGCAGGAGAGGGUUGAGGAUAGCUGCAAAAAAAUUACCCUGAUGUGAGAAAAGGAAUUAAAUGUUUAUUUCUCACCCUCCCCUUUUGAUCUGUAGGUGAGUAAACCAGAAAAACCGGACAGCUAACUCUUUUGCUUCCUUCCAGUAAGAAGGUUUUGCCAUACAGUACUUUUCUUGGCUCUUCCUCAAUUCUAGGGCAGGAUAAAUAGGAGAGAGAUCUCCAUGUAGACACAGAAGAAGUCUGGAGAGCUUUGGUGUUUUCUAAAAUCUCCAUCAGUAGUUCUUCUUUCACCUCAGGAACUCCAGACAUUAACAGAGAAUGAAUCGGAUUCUUUUUGGCCUCUCUUUUUUGCUGCUAUGGACUUUCUCCCAACAGCUAUUGUGCAAGGAAUGCCAUAGCCAGAAACUCUCUGACUGUCGGAAUAGCAGCAAAGUAUGUGAAACUAAAUCUGGAAGAUGUUAUACAUCGGGAUUCUAUGAUGUUGUAACAUUAGACCAUGUGACAUACGGAUGCUAUGAAGGUCCAAGAGGUUCAGUGGAUUGUGAUCAUCCUGUAAAGAAGAGUCAACAGUGGACUAAUAUUACUGUUUGUUGUGACACAGACCUGUGCAAUGGAUGGAAGAAACCGCCUGCUCGCUCAUAAAUGUUACGUUUAAGAUUAUGAUUUUUUAAUCCCCAACUUCCUGGCUACUCUUUCUGCUGUAUUUGGUCUCAUGAAUCCCUAAUUUCCUCCCACCUGUGUGUACUUACAGCUAGUAAAAGAUAUAAAUCUUCUCAAGUCCUGGAAAUUCUCAGCUACACAACCAUUAAUUGGAGAGGGAGGUGCUCUCCUUAAGUCCCAUCCUGCAAGUAAUGUGCCACAUAUCCUGCAAGUGAAGCUGUUCUGAGGUUUAUUGGAUUGUAAGGAAGACAUCCAAAGUGCCAAACUCCUUCCUCCAAACAGUUAGACUACUAUGGACAGCUCUCCCGGUAUUCAGACUCAAACUUUGAGUAUGCUUACUAUACAGUACAGUAUACAGUCUGUAGCCUCGGAGAUUUCUAGUGAAGCCCCAUCUCUGUCACAAAUCUUAAACCUUUUUUAGCCCCGAAGCCUGGACUCUCUGUUUUCCAUUCCUCUUCCCCCUCUUGCUAUUUUGGGAAGGAGAAAAAAGAAUGAAGAAAGAUGGCCAACUCCACUCAAAGUUCACCAGCACAAUCCAAGAUCAUUUGGCAUCCUCUCCUUCCUCUUUGCAAACCAGGAGAAAAAAAGCAAAGUCAGUUACCAAACAAACCUUAAGGUGGGAAAGGUCCACUCAGCAUUCGUCACAACAGGAAAUCAUGCCACCCGUAAGGGAAGUGUCCAAUGUUUCACAUUUUAAAGGAAAUAUUCAGUGUUUCAUAUCCUAUUCUCAAGAUAUGUUUAGCAAUUUGGAGAGCUUCUUUAAAGUUCAGGCUAAAACCCACAGCAAGUUCAGCACCCUGGUGAGAAAGCAGCCUAUAGCCAUUGCUGAAUACUGCCCAAUUAUGUCAAUAGAAAUUUCCAGUUAAAAUAAACCGUGUUCUUUGCUAACUAAAAGGCUGUCCUGUGUGCUUUUAACUUCUGUGCUUUUCCUCUGUGGAUCUGUGUGGUUUAUUCGAAGCAGACCCAGAUCUGUCCCUUGUACGGCUUCUUGCUCUGAAAACACUAAGCUUAACUUAGAAAUCAAGAGUGUGGUUCAUUCAUUCAGUCUACAUUGUGAAACUGGGUUGGACUGGGCAGGAGUCCAAUAUGAUGAUCUGGUGAUGAAAUAAUUAAAAAACACACAUUGGAAAUAA
Long non-coding RNA from Anolis carolinensis (green anole), 3390 nucleotides. RefSeq lists it as uncharacterized. The transcript has 3 exons. Lineage: Eukaryota; Metazoa; Chordata; Lepidosauria; Squamata; Anolidae. The record is from RefSeq and is a predicted model, not a curated record.